Molecule: long non-coding RNA, 748 nt
Organism: Trifolium pratense (red clover)
Lineage: Eukaryota; Viridiplantae; Streptophyta; Magnoliopsida; Fabales; Fabaceae
Exons: 3
Source: RefSeq, a predicted model, not a curated record
CAGAUUUUUUUACGGAACAAUAUAUAUAUCUCCCUUCAUCUUUAUCUUAUAUUUUUUUAACCAAAAAAAGACAAUCACAACACACAACAUCAACAUCUCUCACGUGAACCCAUCUUCCUCAAAUACUUCCAUAGCUCAAUUCUCAUCAUCUAUUCCACUUUUCUUUUCAUUUUCCUACUACUUUUCUUUUAACUUCAUCACAUAAUCAACAUUAUUGUCAAUUCAAGCUUAGAAAGAAUAUUGGGUGAAAAGUGAAAGUACCCAUUCAUGGAGAGUUUGCUCUUUGAUGUUCCUUGAGAUUCGGUGGAAGUUGCUCCGGUGGCCGUUUCGGAAGGCGUUGCUAGGAACGGAGUUGCCUCUUCAUAGUUAUCCGCGAGUGGCAGGAUAGACCGUUCUUGAUAUUUGUAGAUUCCAGCAAGUACCCUCUUUUUGGUAGGCCCCUAUCUUUAACGGAGGCCGGUAUUUUGUGACUUCAGUAUGAUGCAGCUAUAUUUUGAGUAGAACUUGUUUAGAGGUCUUUAGGUGUAUGUAGUACUACAAGUUUGUAACGUUGCUAUAUGUAUAGCCACUAUCAUGGUGGAUAUGUGAAAUUUAGUAUAAUUAAGAACCUGCUGUUGGAACAUGUUUUGAUGUAAAUAGAUAAUGCAGGGAUAAAAAAAUGAAUAUUUUGGGAUUUUAAGAAAAACAAAGGAGACUUUGCCAAAAUUUUGGUAGAUUCUAGAGAUGUGAAUAUAUGUGUAUUUUUAUA